UACGUAGGGUGCAAGCGUUAAUCGGAAUUACUGGGCGUAAAGCGCGCGUAGACGGUUUUGUAGGUCAGAUGUGAAAUCCCCGGGCUCAACCUGGGAACUGCAUUUGAUACUGCAUGGCUAGAGUACGGUAGAGGGAAGCGGAAUUUCCGGUGUAGCGGUGAAAUGCGUAGAUAUCGGAAGGAACACCAGUGGCGAAAGCGGCUUCCUGGACUAGUACUGACGUUCAUGUGCGAAAGCGUGGGGAGCAAACAGG
Molecule: ribosomal RNA, 253 nt
Filed under: uncultured bacterium
Lineage: Bacteria
Description: partial 16S ribosomal RNA
Rfam family: Bacterial small subunit ribosomal RNA
Source: RNAcentral